UGGGGAAUAUUGCACAAUGGGCGAAAGCCUGAUGCAGCAACGCCGCGUGAGCGAUGAAGGCCUUCGGGUCGUAAAGCUCUGUCCUCAAGGAAGAUAAUGACGGUACUUGAGGAGGAAGCCCCGGCUAACUACGUGCCAGCAGCCGCGGUAAUACGUAGGGGGCUAGCGUUAUCCGGAAUUACUGGGCGUAAAGGGUGCGUAGGUGGUUUUUUAAGUCAGAAGUGAAAGGCUACGGCUCAACCGUAGUAAGCUUUUGAAACUGAGAAACUUGAGUGCAGGAGAGGAGAGUAGAAUUCCUAGUGUAGCGGUGAAAUGCGUAGAUAUUAGGAGGAAUACCAGUUGCGAAGGCGGCUCUCUGGACUGUAACUGACACUGAGGCACGAAAGCGUGGGGAGCAAACAG
RNAcentral lists this ribosomal RNA (402 nucleotides) under uncultured bacterium. Its description in RNAcentral is "bacterial SSU rRNA". It matches the Rfam family "Bacterial small subunit ribosomal RNA", at positions 355 to 775 of the family's 1533-position model. The record is from RNAcentral.